RNAcentral lists this ribosomal RNA (253 nucleotides) under uncultured bacterium. Its description in RNAcentral is "partial 16S ribosomal RNA". It matches the Rfam family "Bacterial small subunit ribosomal RNA", at positions 524 to 776 of the family's 1533-position model. The record is from RNAcentral.
UACGUAGGUGGCAAGCGUUGUCCGGAUUUACUGGGUGUAAAGGGCGUGCAGCCGGGAGUGCAAGUCAGAUGUGAAAUCCCGCGGCUCAACCGCGGAACUGCAUUUGAAACUGUGCUUCUUGAGCGCUGGAGAGGCAGACGGAAUUCCUAGUGUAGCGGUGAAAUGCGUAGAUAUUAGGAGGAACACCAGUGGCGAAGGCGGUCUGCUGGACAGUAACUGACGGUGAGGCGCGAAAGCGUGGGGAGCAAACAGG